This is an RNA transcript of Peromyscus maniculatus bairdii (prairie deer mouse), 1385 nucleotides long. It is a transcript of the gene named chromosome 4 C20orf173 homolog, with no coding region annotated. The record is from RefSeq and is a predicted model, not a curated record. Lineage: Eukaryota; Metazoa; Chordata; Mammalia; Rodentia; Cricetidae.
GCCCGUCUUUCCUUUUGCAGAGAGCACUUAUGCUCUCUCUGUCUGUUCUAGCUUCUUCUAGGCCCAGUCAGAACUCUCCCUGGGGGUGAGAAAAUGGACAAGGGGAAAAUUGAAGCUGGAAGGAAGGCCGGGGAACUGUGGAGACCAGCAUGAAGGGAUGCUAGUGCUGUCCAUGGCCUCAGCCCCAUGUCCUUUCAGGUAGAGAAGCCAGUCUGCUGCCUGCCACAUGAGCCAUUGUCUGGGCCAGACAUGGAGAACUGCUGGGUCUUUUGGGGGCUUGUCUUGUGGCUGAUGGCUCCCUACCUGGGUUGGACACAUGAGUCAGCACCCCAGCAGGAAUGGACAUACAUGGUACCACAGCACUCUAACUGGCUGGGCUUCAAAUUUGGGGAGCAUGGCUGCCCUUCACGGACCCCCAACUGCUCCACCUGCCACUGCACAGCUGGAGGAUGGAACUGGUUCGAAGCGUGUUAUGAGAAGAGCAUGGGGUACUUGAGGAGGACAAAAGCGCUCUGGUGGCUGGGCAUGAGCUCAGUAAGCGAGCUUGGAAAAGUGUGGAAGAAGCUACUAGAAGUGAUUUCCAGGCCCCUCCUGUACCACUUUGAUGUCCCCUGUGUGCCCUGCGUCAUGCUGCGGAACUCUGGCCUCAGCAAUACCAAGCAAUUGAUGAGUCAGGACACCAUCCACAGGGCUGAGGCAGAUAUGAGGAGCCAAACCACAGGACCCUUCAUCUGUCCCAGGAAUGCCAGUCACCAGGGCUCCUGGAGGCAGCCGUGGUUCCUGGAGCUUGCUGAUCUGGUGCCCCGAAUGACAAGAUUUUGGAAGACAGUCUGAUUUCCCUAAGGCACGAGAUAGUUAAGAUGCGGCCACGCUCUCUGGAUUUGGAUCAGAACAGCAAAGCAGUCCUAUUUCGAUAACCAGACCAAAGGCCCCCUGACGGACCUGUCUGCAUGGACUAGAGAAGCAGAAACGGAAGUUGCUUGUCAGCUAAGAUGGACAGACAAAGCUACCAUUCACAAGUGACAACUGCUGAGGCAUGAAUGCUGGAGAGUUUUAGGACACAACAGCCACAUAACUGUGAAGACAUUCAUAGGUGAAGAUCUAAAGAAAAUGGAAGCUCCCCAAGUAAACAAGUCAAAAGCUUCCGAAAGUCCCAGAAACGGAGCAGAUUCACUAGACCCUUCACUCUCUAAGUAUGUAUCAGUGAGAGUCACUCCCAGACAAACCCAGCUGUCUGGAAUGAGGCAGAGAUCAAUGGCACUGCUUGGAAGACUCUCCAACCUGUGGAGCUGCCUGCAAUUAUGCAGUGAGUGACAAGUGUCCAGCAUUUGUGAGUGUCACCCAUGGGGUGGGCUUUCGGUGAUGCCGCUGUCUUUGGGUCAUUU